GCCUACGGGAGGCAGCAGUGGGGAAUAUUGCACAAUGGGGGAAACCCUGAUGCAGCGACGCCGCGUGAGUGAAGAAGUAUUUCAGUAUGUAAAGCUCUAUCAGCAGGGAAGAAGCAAGACGGUACCUGACUAAGAAGCCCCGGCUAACUACGUGCCAGCAGCCGCGGUAAUACGUAGGGGGCAAGCGUUAUCCGGAUUUACUGGGUGUAAAGGGAGCGUAGACGGUAUGGCAAGUCUGAAGUGAAAGCCCAGGGCUUA
This 258-nucleotide ribosomal RNA is filed under the name uncultured bacterium. Its description in RNAcentral is "partial 16S ribosomal RNA". It matches the Rfam family "Bacterial small subunit ribosomal RNA", at positions 337 to 611 of the family's 1533-position model. The record is from RNAcentral.